Molecule: long non-coding RNA, 523 nt
Organism: Leptidea sinapis
Lineage: Eukaryota; Metazoa; Arthropoda; Insecta; Lepidoptera; Pieridae
Exons: 3
Source: RefSeq, a predicted model, not a curated record
UACCUACUAAAGCGGUAUCUAUAUAAGGCUAGUGAAGUAGGUUUAUAAGUCUUAUACUCAUCUAGAAGUUUCUUCAUUGUAUUUCAAGUCAGGAGGAGAAGUUAUAUCUAUGGCUCAUAAGCCAUGAGGGUAUUAUUAUUUAUUACAUCGAUUUUAGUAAUUGUUCCUUGGGCAAAUACACUACCACUGAGGCUCUGUAAAUUUAUAUGCCCACGUGCAUACCAGCCUGUUUGCAGCAGAGAUGGAAGUACUUAUCGCAACUUAUGUGUCAUGAAAUGUCGCGGUAGAGAAUUUUUUCACCGAGGAUUCUGCGAUAAUCAUCAUCGCCCUCCUGGUUUGCCUGAUAACAAUCAUAAUUCUACUACUACUACUACUGAGAAGCAGUAAACAGCAAGGAGAAUUCAUCAUGAAGCAAAUAAGUCAGACACUUUAAGUUAGACAUAUUGACACGGAUGACCAUGUUAUAUUCUAAUUAAAUUCAAAACUAUUAAUUCCAAUAAAUAAAUGAGGCAUUUAAACAUUA